This is a transfer RNA of Ovis aries (sheep), 72 nucleotides long. It matches the Rfam family "tRNA". From Rfam's summary of the family: Transfer RNA (tRNA) molecules are approximately 80 nucleotides in length. Their secondary structure includes four short double-helical elements and three loops (D, anti-codon, and T loops). NCBI's taxonomy places the organism in Eukaryota, Metazoa, Chordata, Mammalia, Artiodactyla, Bovidae. The record is from Rfam.
UCACUUGUAGCUCAGUCGGUAAAGAAUCUGCCUGCAAUGCAGGAGACCUGGGUUAGAUUCCUGGGUGGGGAA